Balaenoptera ricei (Rice's whale) is the source of this 666-nucleotide long non-coding RNA. RefSeq lists it as uncharacterized. The record is from RefSeq and is a predicted model, not a curated record. Lineage: Eukaryota; Metazoa; Chordata; Mammalia; Artiodactyla; Balaenopteridae. The transcript has 5 exons.
AUUAUAGCACUCUUCUCUGCUAUUGGAAUGUAAAUGAUUGACAUUGGGAAAUUCAUUUCAGAUGCCCCACAUCUCAUCCGCAGCCCAAGAGGAGGAAAUCUAUUUGAAGACUGAACAGCAACACGGACCUCACUGCAAAAUGAGGCGAAUUGCUGGGUCUACAGCCAGAUGCCAUUGUCCUCCUCUGGGCUUCCAUGAAAAAUUGACCUGGCUACUGUGACUAUGUGGGGACUACUGACCGUGGGGGAGAAAGACUCACCAUCUUCCUGGCCCACAUGUGGCUCUGCGUUUGUGAAAACCAGGGGUGGCCUUGCCUGCCUUAUAACUGGACGGGGCACUGCUGCUACUGACUCCCUUUCCAUUGACCCGAACGAAGACUGUCACCUUGUCUUGCUUGCCUUCCGGUAAGAAAACCACAGAGUUAAAGCACCAUUCUCAUCACGGCAUAUUAAGAUUUUAUCAAGUUGUGAGGUGAGAUGCCUCGCCAGCUGUGGCGAGCUACACUUCUUGGUCACGAGCCACCGUGGAAGGGGACAAACCACACAUUUUAAUGGACCGUGGUCACUCCUCCCAGGAGAGUGCCCUGGCUCUGGCGUCCUCGCAGAGGGGAAGAUCACGUCAGGGUAGUUCCAGGACCCGCACCCCAUCCUCAAUGCAAGUUAGCUA